RNAcentral lists this unclassified non-coding RNA (244 nucleotides) under Hevea brasiliensis (rubber tree). Lineage: Eukaryota; Viridiplantae; Streptophyta; Magnoliopsida; Malpighiales; Euphorbiaceae. The record is from RNAcentral.
GUAAAUAGAGACCCGAAAGAAUCUUGAUGACAUGUAGCAUGAUUUCCGUGAAAGAUUGCGCUGUUCCUUGACCAUCAAAGUUUCUUUUAAUUCCAAGCAAAUGACUCUGGUUUUCUUUACUGAGGAAUGUAGCAUUUUCCAUUAUCUUUAGGCACUUCAAAAGUAGCAUCAGGCUCUGCAGAAAGUUCUCAUAUCUUGCAUCCUCCAUAUUGGAAUGGCAAUCCUUGGCAACCUCAAAGACGGC